Molecule: ribosomal RNA, 1497 nt
Filed under: uncultured bacterium
Lineage: Bacteria
Description: 16S ribosomal RNA
Rfam family: Bacterial small subunit ribosomal RNA
Source: RNAcentral
GUUUGAUUCUGGCUCAGGAUGAACGCUGGCGGCAUGCCUAAUACAUGCAAGUCGAACGGAGUGAAGCCUUCGGGUUUCAUUCAGUGGCGAACGGGUGAGUAAUACGCAGGGAACCUGGCCAUGGCAGGGGGAUACACUCUGGAAACGGAGCAUAAGACCCCAUAGGCAGUAAGGCGGCAUCGCCUUACUGUUAAAGAAAGCUGAAAGGCUUUGGCGAUGGAUGGACCUGCGGUGCAUUAGCUUGUUGGUGAGGCAACGGCUUACCAAGGCGAUGAAGCAUAGCCGGCCUGAGAGGGCGGACGGCCACACUGGGACUGAGACACGGCCCAGACUCCUGCGGGAGGCAGCAGUAGGGAAUUUUCGUCAAUGGGCGCAAGCCUGAACGAGCAAUGCCGCGUGAGUGAGGAAGGUCUUCGGACUGUAAAGCUCUGUUGCCGGGGAAAAAGGGGAAAUGCAGGAAAUGGCAUUUCAUGGAUGGUACCCGGCCAGAAAGCCACGGCUAACUACGUGCCAGCAGCCGCGGUAAUACGUAGGUGGCGAGCGUUAUCCGGAAUGAUUGGGCGUAAAGGGUGCGCAGGCGGUCUGUUAAGUCUGAAGGCAAAGGGAUGAGCUCAACUCAUUUAUGAUUCAGAAACUGGCAGACUUGAGGACAGGAGAGGGCGGUGGAACUCCAUGUGUAGCGGUAAAAUGCGCAGAGAUAUGGAAGAACACCAGUGGCGAAGGCGGCCGCCUGGCCUGUGACUGACGCUGAGGCACGAAAGCGUGGGGAGCAAAUAGGAUUAGAUACCCUAGUAGUCCACGCCGUAAACGAUGAGGAGCAGGUGUUGGGAGUGAAAUCUCAGUGCCGAAGCCAACGCAGUGACUCCUCCGCCUGGGGAGUAUGCACGCAAGUGUGAAACUCAAAGGAAUUGACGGGGGCCCGCACAAGCGGUGGAGUAUGUGGUUUAAUUCGAAGCAACGCGAAGAACCUUACCAGGUUUUGACAUCGGAUGCGAAGGCGCAGAGAUGCGCUGGAGGCUAUCAUCCAGACAGGUGGUGCAUGGUUGUCGUCAGCUCGUGUCGUGAGAUGUUCAGUUAAGUCUGGCAACGAGCGCAACCCCCGUGGUAUGUUACUAACGCUUUAGGGCGAGGACUCAUAUCAGACUGCCGGUGACAAACCGGAGGAAGGCGGGGAUGACGUCAAAUCAUCAUGCCCCUUAUGACCUGGGCUACACACGUACUACAAUGGCGUCUACAGAGGGAAGCGACCCUGAGAAGGGAAGCGAAACCGGAAAAGGGCGUCCCAGUUCGGAUUGAAGUCUGCAACCCGACUUCAUGAAGAUGGAAUCGCUAGUAAUCGCGGAUCAGCAUGCCGCGGUGAAUACGUUCCCGGGCCUUGUACACACCGCCCGUCAAACCAUGGAAGCCGGCAACGCCCGAAGCCGGUGGCAUAACCUUUUAGGAGUGAGCCGUCGAAGGCGGGGCCGAUGACUGGGGUUAAGUCGUAACAAGGUACCC